Cervus elaphus (red deer) is the source of this 5743-nucleotide RNA transcript. RefSeq lists it as uncharacterized. Lineage: Eukaryota; Metazoa; Chordata; Mammalia; Artiodactyla; Cervidae. The transcript is spliced from 11 exons. The record is from RefSeq and is a predicted model, not a curated record.
GUCUCUUUUCAGUGUCCCGUGUAAUUCUAACCUCCUGCAAGCCUGUUCAGGACUGUCACCUCUUGUAGCCGACCCUUCUUUAUUAUUUGUGGAAAAUUCUCCAUGUCUACAUCUGGAAUUGCUCAAAGAUCAACUUCAGAGAGCCACCAUCAAAUUGAGAGAAAAAGACAGGCAGUGAAGAAAACAAAGGGCUACUGGAGAUUUGAGAACUAGGUAUUUAAAAGCAUGGGUGUGGUUACUGGCCUGUGGAGCCGACUGGAAACAAAUAGAGAAGAAGCCUCUUAAGUAUUUGAGAGAAGUGUACUGCCAAAGAAACCACAAACCUGGACUGAAGGGGCCUUUGACUGUAGAAGCUGAAAAUGGCCUUUGUGCUCAGAAGCCUAAGUGAAUAAGGAGCCUGAGGAGGCUGCUAUACAGCCCUGAGACUUAUUUCCAGGUGCAAUCAAAGAAGGCAAUGGGGAGAAAAAGAACUGCCAAAGGGUGGAUGUUGAAGACACACACAGGCAGAUUCUUUACCAUCUGAGCCAGCAGGAAUUGUCUUCUUUCUAAAAUAAAGAUUGGAGUGAACCACUUAAAUAAGAAACCAAAGCUGCUCACAAUAAAGACUACUUAAUAUAGGCUCACCUAGGAGAGUGCUGAGAAGUCCUUUUUGCAAAUUCUGCUCCCCUGAAACUGACUCUCAUGCCCCCAAAAUUGUUCCGAAAUUGUGAGAGAUGGAUCUGAGAACGCUGUCUGGGCUUGGUGCCAAGUGCUGGCAUUCCACAGCAGCGACCGCCUCACAGCCGGGCUGUGGGAAGCAGGAGGGAGACUCUCUUAGGGUGCCACUACUAUGGAGACACAGCUGGGCUGAACAAGAUUUGCUUCAAACGACAACAAGAGAGACAGAAAGUAUCUGGUUCAACCGCUGCCCAAGCAGGCAGGCACCAGAAGAGCUAGCAGCCAAUCCGGCCAUGCUCGAAGCCAGCUCUGCAGCUCAGCCAAUCAGUGACAUCACUGGUCAUUAGGAAUUUUGUUGGGAUAAUUGUCCAAAUGAAUUUGAAGCAUUCUAUUCAAAUGUCUACAGAUGCACGGCUGGUGGUGUGGCUCAGACGGAGCAAGGGUUACAUCAAGGCUGUUCUCUGGACCAUGCAAACAGUCUAGACCAAUGACCUGCAGCUUCAUGCCCUUUGAAGAAGAGGCAAGUUCGGUCAUGAUGAAGAAAAAUCAAGGCGUACCCCUUUUAACAAUAAGGAGCAGCUCGAGGCUGCAAAGAGGCGUUCGUGGCUGCUUUUGAGAAAGAAAACUAUUGAUGUCAGGAUCUGAAAAGUGAAGAGAAUGAAACACAGAAUAUGGAUAUCCUUGAAGAUUAAUCAGAGAGCCUCUUAUGUGCCUCUAAAGGCAUUUGAACUGGGCAAACAGGACGGCAGCAGCAGUGAGCGUGAGAUCAUUGCAGCAGUGUAGCAAACUGGCACCCUGCCUUCUCACCCUUUUGGUUCAGGAGACAAACGUGUGCAAUCCUCAUUUCUAAAGUCAGCAGAGCCUGGAAGGAUUCCUGGUCUCUCCCACCUUCUACCAUUCUUCUGCCAGGGACGGCAAGGAUUGGUGCAGCUUCUGCGCAGCGCUUUGUGCCUGCAAUACCGAGAAGGAAGAAAAAGAAGACAAGCACCCUGGUCCUCUUUUUUUCCCAAGAAAUAACAGGAGGCAUGAAGAAAAAAUCUGAGUUUGUCCUAUUCCAUGCAACAGUGCUGAAAAAAAGAGAGAGAGAGAGAGAGAUGCUCCUGCUCAAAAACAAAAACAAACAAACAAAAAUCCAAACCAAAACAAACUAAAAAAAAAAAGCAAACAUUGGCUUGUAUUUAACUACAGAGACAUCGCGCUUUGUAAAGCAGCUUUGUAAGGCAGCAUAAGCAAAUGAGCCUUCUGUAUUUGUAUUAUUGCAAAAAUAUGGCAUAAUAAGCAAUUUAUUGCACUUGGUGAAAUCGCACCUUUCGUAUCAGGUAUAACUUUUUUUGUUGUUGUUUCUUUUUAAGUCUACUGUUCUAUGAAAGGGGGUCCUUGCACUUUCAGUUUACUCUUGUAACUCAUCUCCCACUUUAUUCUUAUUAACUUUUUCCUUUUGCUCUCUUGCUCUAAUCCUGAGUAGACUAGAAACUUUAGCAAAACUAGAAAAAUCUCUAUGAAAAAGACGGUACCUGUUUUAGUUUCUGUUAUACAUAGAAGCUUUGGAAAAGCAUUAAUAUGUUAUCUGUGCUUUUUGUGUACAGUAUUACUUUUUGCUGUCUAAGAAAAGUGAACAUUUAGCCCUAGAUGGUAAAGAAACUAAAUCUUUACUGUGAUGUGACUCAUAAUUUGAAAUAUGAAAGAAGAAACUUUUUGAACUCCUAAAACAGGGUUGUGUUCGAAUGUGUAUUAAAAUUCUCUAAUAAGUGAAAUUUAGUUUGAGGGAAGUUAUAUUUAAUUUACUUACCAAGAUUUCAUGUGACAAAAUAAGGAUGAAAAGAUCAUGUUCUCAGUUACUAAGUAGAAAAAGGGCUUGUUCCACAAUAAUACUGACUUUUAAAAUAUAUUUAAAAGAAGCAUUUGUCUUAGAGCUGUUAGAAAUAUCAAUUAGGUACUUUAGUGGAAAAAGUACACACAAACUUGUUUUACAUUUAAAGCAAUGUAAUGGCUCAGCAUAUAAAUGCAUUGCAUUCUAAUUAUUUUGUCUGUUUGUAGUAGUAAAUUGCUGAGCAAUUUAAACAUUUUAUAACAAAAACCUAGUUUUGCCUAGUUCAGUGGGAAAGGAUUAGCCAAUGUAUUGCACCUAUUUUAAUUUUUAUUAAAACUGUUUCUAAACAUGUUUUAAAAUUGUUAAAGAAAAAGAAUGCUUUUGAAAUAUAGAACGUAUAUAAAGACUAUAAUUUGCACAUGAAGAAUUGAUGCUAUAAUAUUUUCUGUGAAAAGAAUAAACUUCAAGCAAACUGUUGUGCUUUUAAAAUCGUAUUUUAUUAUAAUAGAAAUAUAUAGGGUAAACAAUGAAAAAUAGUACAGAGGUGAUGAAUUCUACCUUCUGUUUUGUCAUUAUACAAAGAAUUGUGGGAAAUUACAAAUACCCUAUACACUGAUAACAUUCAAAGAAAAUGUUUUAUUAAGUUUAUUGGUUAUUGUUCACUAAUUAUUUAAAAAAUAGCUCUUGUUCCUUUAUGCUGCCUCAGCUAAUGAAACAUCAACUUUCACAGGCUUAAUUAACAUUUAUAAACCUGUUUUCAUGUUUCAAGAUCCUUUAGUUGAAAAACAUUAUUUUAAAUGUUAUUUUUAGGAGCCAUUAAUCUCUACACUCUUAAUUAUCUUAUUAAGCUCCAUGCCAAAUCCAAAUCUCUUUUCAGCUUUCACUAGUUCAUUGUGCAAAACCUAGUCGCUUCUUUAACAGCCUUGCCUCCUUUCACUUUCAAAACUGUUACUGUGAAAACAGCACCAACCAAAAUGAAUGCAUAAAUGCAAACUAUGAAACCACAUUAUAUGUCAUAUGAGUAGCCUUGGGUGGGGCUCCAUGAGUCUUCCAAGCCUUUAAAAAAAAAAAAAACUUUAAAAGGUUUUGCCCAUUUUGGUAUUGUGUUUUCUUCUCGAUCGACUACCUUCAUUCCCACCAUACACCCAGAUGCUUCUCCUAGACAGCAGUUGUCUGACAUUUCUCCUUUUGUGGUUGUUUUAGGGAAAAACUUAAAGUGGAUAUGAGAAGUGAAGAAAGUGAUCAUAGGAGAAAAUCAUCUCAGGUGUUUCCUGUAAACUGGGUGCUUCACUGAAAUACCACAUUCAGAUCCUUUUCCUUUUUUGGUUUCAGCAAGAUUCAUACAAGGUAUUGUAUAUAUCCCACCAGGAAGCACAUAAACAGCCUGUCUUUACUGUGACUAAAUGGGAGGAGGUUUGUGAUUUUAUAAGUACUUAAUUAUGAUUGUAUCAUCCAGGAGUUAAAUAUUUCAAAUUCAUAUGUUGUAUUUAAUAUAUCAUUCUUUCAUGAUAUUUCAAAAAGAUCACCUUGAUCUCCAAAGAUUCCAUCAACUGAGCAAGUUUGAGCACCAUCACCAUAGUGGCUCAGACAUAAAGAAUUUGCCUCCAGUGUAGGAGACCUGGGUUUGAUCCCUCCGUUGGAAAGAUCCCUUGGAGACAUGAAAGGCUACCCACUCCAGUAUUCUUGCCUGGAAAACCCUAUGGACAGAGGAGCCUGGCAAACUACAGUCCAUGGGGUCCAACGAGUUAGACACAGCUGAGUGACUAACACUCCCACUUUCACUCUAGUGAAUAUCAAACUAUGGAUUAUUCCACUUGUAUGUCUAAAAUUGGAUUAAGUUAUUAAGAAAUUCCAAGUGAAGUAGCCUUGAACAAACGCAGGGUACAUAUGUUGGCAUCCGAUCUAAAACAAUCUAGAACAUUCUGAGAAAAGAAUGAGGAAUAGUGAAUUAGAAUUAGACUUUUGUGAUAACCUUUAACUUUAUAAGAACUUCAGAGAAGACCAUUAUGGACUAAAUUAUGGGGACAGUUCAAAGCAUCAGAAUAGUCUUGGUGGCGCAUGUGAACCAUUCCAACCUGCUCCCAGUAAGAUGGUACAACUCUGUCACUAUCCUGGAAUGCAGGGGGUGAGAUAAAAAUGUGAAGACUUUAUAUGAAAUAUCAGUUGGCAUUUAAAAACGGAAGUAUGUGUAUAUUCUUGAGAAGAGAAACAAAAAGCAGGUGAUUGUUUAUGGACUUUCAGAAGUGUAUGACUUUUUAAAUAGCCUCCUCUAUGGUCAUCUUUUUAAUUCCUUUUACAAAAGUAACCGUAAAAUUAGAGGGAAUUAAUUUAUAUUUAGUUCAUUAUUGGCAAUACCUUAAUGUAAUAUCCCUUGCCAGAUAUGAAGAGGAUAUAUCUUUCCUUUAUAUAUUUAUUAGGAAUAAAUAUAUUAUAGCUAGUUUUCCAUUUUUAUGGAUGCUUUGAGUUCAAAGCUAUGGUAUCAUAUAUAAAAUAUUACAAUUAUUCAAUAAACCAUCACUAAAAUUAUACCCAUAUUCUAUUUUGAAACUGAGAUAAAAUCUUAGACUCUGUGAACUGUAUUACUUUAAUGAACUUUCUUCAAGGUCCAAGGAUCCCUGAAUCUGUUUUAAUUCAUAUCAAUAACUGGAGAGGUUUUUCGAAGAAGUUACAUAAAUCUACAAAAUGAAGUGUUGGAUCUGUGACCUACUGCUUAAAUGCCCAUUCCUCCUAUUGCUUUUUACUGCUAAAGUAAGAGACAUAUUGCUUUGUUAUAUCAUUAUUACCAAUUUUAAAAAUAAUUUUCUGUUCUAAUUAAGAUAAUUAAUCUAAUAUGUACUUUUAAAAUUAUUUUUGAUCUUGUAUCUUACUUGUCACAGUUAGGAACCUAGAGUAGGUUGAGCAUUUUGAGCUAAAUGAUGAUGUUACUGUGAAGACUAUCAAGGAUACCCUAGGCAACCACAAACUUAUAGUGUCUACAGAGCAACAGCAAUAAGUCUGUGCAAUGUUAGGCCAGGGAUUAAUACCCUUUUAUAUGUAGGAUUCUUAUUAUUUUUAUUUCGUAUUUCAUAACAUUAUCAGGUCCAUGAAAUUUACUCCCUUAAGUGAAGUGCUUUUGUGUUGCUUGUUUUGACACUGCGUUUUGCUGAUUAGAAUACUAACAAAAUGUGUGAAAUGUAAUAUUCCUUACGCCAAGGAACAGGUUAGUUUCUCUAAAUAUGUGUUCAAUAAAACCCAUAGUCAGAAUUUUACUCAAGAACCUAAAAUUCAUUUGAGUAU